GCGUUCAGUAAGUAUAACGUUUCAAGAUGGCGGAGCGAAUUGCAUGGUUAUUGUUUCUACUCAAUGGAUUCGCAGGUACUUCGGAAAUAGUUCAGAUUGGGAUCAAUAACUUUAUUGCAUACGAUCAUUUACAUGUAUUACCUGGUGUGUGUUGCCAGUAAUGGUUGAAGAUAUGCCAAACAAAUUGUGCCUCUCUAUACAGACAGAUUUCAGGUCUCAAUUUCGACUUCAAAGGUCAACAUAUCACUGAUAUCAGGAAUUCUGUACAACUGUGGAACCAUGUAUGGUACGUGACCGCACAAUGUUGGUUGGCAAAAGGAUAUUGGAAUAAGCAAAGGGACUCAACAUUACACAGUCAUUUCAACAUGUAGAGUCUG
This is a long non-coding RNA of Dreissena polymorpha, 377 nucleotides long. RefSeq lists it as uncharacterized. The record is from RefSeq and is a predicted model, not a curated record. Lineage: Eukaryota; Metazoa; Mollusca; Bivalvia; Myida; Dreissenidae. The transcript is spliced from 4 exons.